RNAcentral lists this ribosomal RNA (980 nucleotides) under Porphyromonas endodontalis. RNAcentral's name for it is "bacterial SSU rRNA". It matches the Rfam family "Bacterial small subunit ribosomal RNA", at positions 28 to 991 of the family's 1533-position model. The record is from RNAcentral. Lineage: Bacteria; Pseudomonadati; Bacteroidota; Bacteroidia; Bacteroidales; Porphyromonadaceae.
GAUGAACGCUAGCGAUAGGCUUGACACAUGCAAGUCGAGGGGCAGCAUUAUUUUAGCUUGCUAAGAUAGAUGGCGACCGGCGCACUGGUGCGUAACGCGUAUGCAACCUGCCUGUAAUUAGGGAAUAACCCGGUGAAAGUCGGAUUAAUACCCUAUAUUCUUCUUUCUCCGCAUGGAGGAGGACGGAAAGAUUUAUUGAUUACAGAUGGGCAUGCGUCCCAUUAGCUAGUUGGUAAGGUAACGGCUUACCAAGGCAACGAUGGGUAGGGGGACUGAGAGGUUGACCCCCCACACUGGUACUGAGACACGGACCAGACUCCUACGGGAGGCAGCAGUGAGGAAUAUUGGUCAAUGGGCGAGAGCCUGAACCAGCCAAGUCGCGUGAAGGACGACGGUUCUAUGGAUGUGUAAACUUCUUUUGUAGAGGAAUAAUGGCAGCUACGCGUGAGCUGAGAUGCAUGUACUCUACGAAUAAGUAUCGGCUAACUCCGUGCCAGCAGCCGCGGUAAUACGGAGGAUACGAGCGUUAUCCGGAAUUAUUGGGUCUUAAAGGGUGCGUAGGUGGCGUAUUAAGUCAGUGGUGAAAAGCUGCAGCUCAACUGUAGUCUUGCCGUUGAAACUGAUAUGCUAGAGAGGAGACGAGGUAUGCGGAAUGUGUGGUGUAGCGGUGAAAUGCAUAGGAUAUCAGCACAGAACGCCGAUUGCGAAGGCAGCGUACCAGGCUCCGUCUGACACUGAAGCACGAAAGCGUGGGGAUCAAACAGGAUUAGAUACCCUGGUAGUCCACGCAGUAAGCGAUGAAUACUAGCAUUUUUGCGAUAUAGUGUAAGAGUCUAAGCGAAAGCGAUAAGUAUUCCACCUGGGGAGUACGCCGGCAACGGUGAAACUCAAAGGAAUUGACGGGGGCCCGCACAAGCGGAUGAACAUGUGGUUUAAUGCGAUGAUAUGCGAUGGAACCUGACCCGGGAAUUGACAUCGAG